Long non-coding RNA from Oreochromis aureus, 505 nucleotides. RefSeq lists it as uncharacterized. The record is from RefSeq and is a predicted model, not a curated record. The transcript has 3 exons. Lineage: Eukaryota; Metazoa; Chordata; Actinopteri; Cichliformes; Cichlidae.
GUCGCCUCGUAUCUAGCAGCUUAGCUUAGCUUCCCCUGCCGAGCCCAAACGAGAAGACGAAGCCGGAAACACAACUGGGUUCUCUUCCGGGGCAAGAAAAGGGAGCGGACAGCUGAAACAAACUACGCUCUCCUCCUGCUGCCAUGAGGCCACGCUGAUGGCCUGGGCUAAAGAUGUGACGAGAGAGGACAGACCGAUGAGGUAGCCAUCCUCCCUGCUACCUUCAGACCACGGGACGUUGUGUCGGAGCUCCUGCGAGUCAGGCAGAGGCGUCGUCUUUCCGAAGUCUAUCAUCCAUACACUGGCCUUGCUGUGGUCGUGGACAAAGAGAAGCGAGCUGCCAAUCACCUGAUCGAUUUAAAAAACAUAAAGAAAACUCAGUAAGCCCUUCAUGUAGCUGAAAGCUAAAUCUUCUGCAAUCAAGACUUGAUGAGUCACCUGCAGAGGACGCCUUACCUGACUCCCAUCUUGCAGUCCAUGAUGACGGGCCUCUUCAGGCCACUCA